Molecule: ribosomal RNA, 253 nt
Filed under: uncultured bacterium
Lineage: Bacteria
Description: partial 16S ribosomal RNA
Rfam family: Bacterial small subunit ribosomal RNA
Source: RNAcentral
UACGGAGGAUCCAAGCGUUAUCCGGAAUCAUUGGGUUUAAAGGGUCCGUAGGCGGGCCUGUAAGUCAGUGGUGAAAGCCCAUCGCUCAACGAUGGAACGGCCAUUGAUACUGCAGGCCUUGAAUUGCCGGGAAGUAACUAGAAUUUGUAGUGUAGCGGUGAAAUGCUUAGAUAUUACAUGGAAUACCGAUUGCGAAGGCAGGUUACUACCGGCGGAUUGACGCUGAUGGACGAAAGCGUGGGUAGCGAACAGG